This 874-nucleotide long non-coding RNA is filed under the name Struthio camelus australis. Its description in RNAcentral is "lncRNA (ENSSCUG00000005479.1)". Lineage: Eukaryota; Metazoa; Chordata; Aves; Struthioniformes; Struthionidae. The record is from RNAcentral.
CUAGUCAGGAGGGCAGUAGAGCCUUGGUGACUUCUGGUGAAUCUCACUUCUCAUUCUAAAAUAAAGACUCUUUUAGUCAAUACUGAUAACAGGACAGACACCGCAUUGUGUGUAUAUAUAUAUAUGUACAACCCUGAAACUGGCAUUAAAUCUAGAGUUCCUGUGUUCCAGUUACAAAAGCUUGAAGUUGCUGAAAUAAGUUAAGCCCCUUUUUUAGUUUCCCUCCUUUAAACUAAAGGAUUUUUUCUGGUUCUUUAAUAUAGAUCACAGAACCACAUAUUUGAGGGAGACAGAGGAGUGACUGCAUGCCGUGGUGUGCUCACGCUCUCUGCCGUGUUCCUUCCUUCAUACAGACCGAGAACCUGGUCAAAGUGAAUAUCUGCUCCUGUCUGGCUCGUGUAUGUGCUGUUCUUGCACACUGAAAGAAAGGCAUAGGAAAUGCUGAUUCGUGUCAGAUCUCAUGCUGAUACAACACACUAUGGGCCAUGGGCAUGUCCUCAGCAGCUCUGAAGAGCUCCUAGCUCUGUCGCUGAGCAUUUUCAUAGGCUGUGGAAGAGGAGAAAAAUACAUGGGCUAUGCAACAUGGACAGAAGAUCAGUAAAGCAAUUGCCUUAUUUCGGUCUUGGUGAGGAGUGGUAGGCUGCGCAGCCUUCCUGGAGAGAACUACCAGACUCACAGCAUAGAGUAGUAUAGCCUGAUAGAUCCAAGGGCUGCACAGAGCUCUUUAGGGCAAAACCAACAGCUUAAAUUAAAUCUGCUAUUUCAUAAGUAACCUGUGCAGAUUCAAAGCACAAAGCUUUGGUGUUCUGUGAAAAACAUGUUCGUGUAACUAAGGAACUGCCGAACUCCGCAACAGAUUCAGUGUCUGGAUGUU